GACGAACGCUGGCGGCGUGCCUAAUACAUGCAAGUAGGACGCACAGCCUAUACCGUAGCUUGCUACACCAUAGGCUGUGAGUUGCGAACGGGUGAGUAACGCGUAGGUAACCUGCCUAUUAGAGGGGGAUAACUAUUGGAAACGAUAGCUAAUACCGCAUAACAGUAUGUAACACAUGUUAGAUGCUUGAAAGAUGCAAUUGCAUCGCUAGUAGAUGGACCUGCGUUGUAUUAGCUAGUAGGUAGGGUAAUGGCCUACCUAGGCAACGAUACAUAGCCGACCUGAGAGGGUGAUCGGCCACACUGGGACUGAGACACGGCCCAGACUCCUACGGGAGGCAGCAGUAGGGAAUCUUCGGCAAUGGGGGGAACCCUGACCGAGCAACGCCGCGUGAGUGAAGAAGGUUUUCGGAUCGUAAAGCUCUGUUGUUAAGGAAGAACGAGUGUGAGAAUGGAAAGUUCAUACUGUGACGGUACUAAACCAGAGAGG
Molecule: ribosomal RNA, 489 nt
Filed under: Streptococcus anginosus
Lineage: Bacteria; Bacillati; Bacillota; Bacilli; Lactobacillales; Streptococcaceae
Description: bacterial SSU rRNA
Rfam family: Bacterial small subunit ribosomal RNA
Source: RNAcentral